Molecule: ribosomal RNA, 478 nt
Filed under: uncultured bacterium
Lineage: Bacteria
Description: partial 16S ribosomal RNA
Rfam family: Bacterial small subunit ribosomal RNA
Source: RNAcentral
GACGAACGCUGGCGGCGUGCUUAACACAUGCAAGUCGAACGGGAUUUAGUAAACUUAAGCCUCGGUGGAAGAGUACUAAUGAGAGUUGCGAACGGGUGAGUAACGCGUGCGCAACCUGCCUAUGCCAGUGGGAUAGCCUCGGUACACCGGGAUUAAUACCGCAUAAAAUCGUAGAAACACAUGUUUCAACGGUCAAAGAUUUAUCGGUCAUAGAGGGGCUCGCGUCUGAUUAGCUAGUUGGUGAGAUAACAGCCCACCACGGCGACGAUCAGUAGCCGGGCGGGGAGGAUGAACGGCCAAAUGGGAACUGGGACACGGUCCAAACUCCGACGGGAGGCAGGAGUAGGGAACAUUGGACGAAGGGGGGAACCAUGAUGGAGGGAUGCCGGGUGAACGAAGAAGGUAUGCAUAUCGUAAAGUUCAGGCCUAUGGGAAGAUAAUGACGGUACCUGAGGAGAAAGCUCCGGCUAAAUACGUG